Molecule: unclassified non-coding RNA, 1419 nt
Filed under: Hevea brasiliensis (rubber tree)
Lineage: Eukaryota; Viridiplantae; Streptophyta; Magnoliopsida; Malpighiales; Euphorbiaceae
Source: RNAcentral
AAAAAAAAAAACAAUUUUAAAAUCUGCAAAGGCAAACCAAGGCCAGUAUCAAACUCAAACCACUACAUUUUACAAGCACAGUAACAGAGAAUAUCUACGUACAAUUGUUUUUCUUUCAUCUUUUUGCGAGGGGUGAAGAGGCAAAAACAAAAAGUUAUACACACUUUGUAUGAUUACACAUGGGCAUGUGGUAGGGACACCAUUCAUACUGACACAUCUGCUGUUCUGGCAGCGCUGUUCCCGGAUCUUGGUUGCCGUAGAAGAUCUAUUAGUGUCUCUGCCUUUCCCUUGGCGCGAUUGGUGCCGGACUGUGACAAAGCCACCAAGGGAGGAAUCGCUCCUUCGCGGGCCACCAUCGCACGAUGCAACAAAUUAUCCUCGCAAAUCUGCAACAAUAUCCCAACCGCAAUCUCCUUCUGCCUCUGCGAUCCGACCUCGAUGAUCUCCACCAGUACCGGAAUCCCACCUUCUUCAACCAAUGCUGUUCUGGCCUCCUGAAUAGUAACCAACAUGCUCAAUACGAACGCUGAUUUGUCCACCAUGUUUGACCCGAAAUCAGCCAUUAAUUCCACCAGUGGCCUCAUGAUCCCAGCAUGGACAGCCCUUUUUUUAUUCUCCUUUGCUGAACAUAGCGAAUACAGAGCUGUUGCUGCGUCCUUUUUCCCGCGAAUUCCUCCACUUUCGAGUAAGUUCACGAGAAGUGGAAUGGCCCCAGACCGUCCGAUUGCAACCUUGUUUUCUUCUACUUGUGAUAGGCGAAGCAAAGCACAGGCUGCGUUCUCUUUCGCAGUUGAUGUCCCUGUUCUCAAAGCCCUAACCAGCGGCGUAAUCGCUCCCGAUGUAGCAAUCACUUCCUUGUUCUCGUCGCAGAGAGAUAAAUUCAAAAUAGCCGUGACGCCAUACUCUUGAAGCUGAGAAUCCGGUGAUGAUAUCAACGUAAUCAGAGGUUUAAUUGCUCCCGCUUUAGCUAUUUUGAAGCGGUUCUCUGGCUUGUUCUUAGCAAGGAGCCUAAUCUCCAUAGCCGCUUGUUUUUGCUCGUCAAUCGAACAGGACUCGAGAUCCAAUACGAGCUGGCGAAGCAGAUCAUCGGAAUUCUCCGAUGCGCAAGCUAUCAAUAAUCGCCUGCUCUCCGACGCAGCCGUUUGGAACUCCCCGGAUCUGUCGCUAUUACAGUCACUGAAAGGAGAGGAAUCAUCGUUAGCACUAGUAUUACCGAAGCUCCUACCCAUAUACGUGUAAUUUGCUCCAUUUUCGGUCUCCAUCACUACAAUAUUCUUCUCUUACUGCAUCAAAAUCAGCUAUGAAUUCGGAUUAAGGUUCGGGUUACAAAAUCCGAAUUGGUGAUAUUCGGGUUUGGUAGGCGGUGGCUGGAGCUGCAGAACACACAGAAAGAGAGAGAGAGAGAGAAGAGAGAGAGAG